GCUUACGGCCACACGGCCUGAGUACGUCUGAUCUCGGAAGCUAAGCAGGGUCGGGCCUGGUUAGUACUUGGAUGGGAGACCGCCUGGGAAUACCAGGUGCUGUAAGCU
This 108-nucleotide ribosomal RNA is filed under the name Oncorhynchus mykiss (rainbow trout). The record is from RNAcentral. Lineage: Eukaryota; Metazoa; Chordata; Actinopteri; Salmoniformes; Salmonidae.